RNAcentral lists this ribosomal RNA (434 nucleotides) under uncultured bacterium. RNAcentral's name for it is "partial 16S rRNA". The record is from RNAcentral.
GCACGGAGUUAGCCGGAGCUUAUUCUCCCGGUACGGUCAUUAUCAUCCCGGGUAAAAGAGCUUUACAACCCUAAGGCCUUCAUCACUCACGCGGCAUUGCUGGAUCAGGCUUUCGCCCAUUGUCCAAUAUUCCCCACUGCUGCCUCCCGUAGGAGUCUGGGCCGUGUCUCAGUCCCAGUGUGGCUGAUCAUCCUCUCAGACCAGCUAAGGAUCGUCGCCUUGGUGAGCCUUUACCUCACCAACAAGCUAAUCCUACGCGGGCUCAUCCUCAGGCGAUAAAUCUUUGGACCGAAGUCAUCAUCCGGUAUUAGCAGUCAUUUCUAACUGUUAUUCCGAACCUAAGGGCAGAUUCCCACGCGUUACGCACCCGUGCGCCACUAGACCCGAAGGUCUCGUUCGACUUGCAUGUGUUAGGCAUGCCGCCGGCGUUCGUU